RNAcentral lists this ribosomal RNA (207 nucleotides) under uncultured bacterium. Its description in RNAcentral is "partial 16S ribosomal RNA". It matches the Rfam family "Bacterial small subunit ribosomal RNA", at positions 568 to 774 of the family's 1533-position model. The record is from RNAcentral.
CGCGCAGGCGGCUGGCCAAGUCCGAUGUGAAAGCUUCCGGCUUAACUGGAAAAUUGCAUCGGAAACUGGUCGGCUUGAAGGUGGGAGAGGGUAGCGGAAUUCCCGGUGUAGUGGUGAAAUGCGUAGAUAUCGGGAGGAACACCAGUGGCGAAGGCGGCUACCUGGCCCAUUCUUGACGCUGAGGCGCGAAAGCUAGGGGAGCGAACG